GCCUGGAUAGCUCAGUUGGUUAGAGCAUGGUGCUGGUAAUGCUAAGGUUGCAGGUUCAAUAUUGCCCCAUAUA
Non-coding RNA from Podarcis lilfordi (Lilford's wall lizard), 73 nucleotides. NCBI's taxonomy places the organism in Eukaryota, Metazoa, Chordata, Lepidosauria, Squamata, Lacertidae. The record is from the annotation of a GenBank genome assembly.